GCCUCAUCACGGGGGAUCACUAUUGGAAACGAUCACUCAUACCGCAUCAGAGUGAUUCACACAUGUUCAUUAUUUCAAAGGAGCAAUUGCUUCACUGUGAGAUGGACCUGCGUUGUAUUAGCUCAUUGGUGAGGUCAAGGCUCACCAAGGCGACGAUACAUCACCGACCUGAGAGGGUGAUCGGCCACACUGGGACUGAGACACGGCCCAGACUCCUACGGGAGGCAGCAGUCAGGAAUCUUCGGCAAUGGACGGAAGUCUGACCGAGCAACGCCGCGUGAGUGAAGAAGGUUUUCGGAUCGUCAAGCUCUGUUGUUCAAGAAGAACGU
Molecule: ribosomal RNA, 329 nt
Filed under: Streptococcus agalactiae
Lineage: Bacteria; Bacillati; Bacillota; Bacilli; Lactobacillales; Streptococcaceae
Description: bacterial SSU rRNA
Rfam family: Bacterial small subunit ribosomal RNA
Source: RNAcentral